GUGCUCACUUUGGCAGCAUACUUACUAAAGUUGGAUCGAUACAGAGAUUAGCAUGGCCCUCACAAAGGGAUGACAUGCAAAUUCACGAAGCAUUCCAUAUUAAA
This is a small nuclear RNA of Vulpes vulpes (red fox), 104 nucleotides long. NCBI's taxonomy places the organism in Eukaryota, Metazoa, Chordata, Mammalia, Carnivora, Canidae. The record is from Ensembl.